ACAGGCUCAUCAUUUGUACAAAUACAGAAGGUAAAACACUUCAUUAUUUUGAUAAAUUGUUUCACAAUUGGGUUAUCAAAUUUGUGUAAACUGACAUUAUUUUCUACUUCUUAGAUGCACAUAAUGUCCAGGGCAUAACCUAUUCUGGUGGAACCAACCUGAUCACUGUGUUCACCAUUCUAUUUCACUUCACAUCUUAUGAUAUCUUUUUGUGAAAAAGAAAGGCGAACUCAGUGAUAAGGUUGGUUACACCAGGCUAAUCAUAACCAUCAUUGAUAAUGUAAUCAGUGAUCUGUGUGUGAGUGGUGUGUGUCUUUAUGUGUGACAGACCAGUAUCUUUGAUGAGCGGCCAGGAGCUGAUCCAUGCUCAUUAAUGGGGCUCUGGCAAAGAGCCUUCAUCCUCACCUCUUUCUUGCCUGUUCACCAACCUUUGUCCAUGGAGAGAACAGAAUUAGUUAAGUCUGACUUGUUCAAACUUCAACAUAGUAUAUGUUAGUGUCAGAUAUCACUUAUCCCUAACUGCCAUUGGUAAUAGAACAAUGAUGGUGUGUAUGUGUUCACAGAUACAUGAGAUGCAGAGAGGCCUGGCACUCAACACAUUCACAAUGAGAUGGACAGGAGGUGCUUUUGCCAGAUGGCAGCCUCAGUCGUUUGAUGGGGAGACCAUAAUUGAAAACAUGCAUGGGGCAAACCUUGUGUAUUCUGCACCAGGAUCAGGGAACAUGGGGAAGGUAGCCCUAUUACCACUAGACAAAAUGCCAAUAGGCACAGUAUUUGUACCGGCUAGGAAUAACAAUGAAAGAUGAAAGGUGCACAUCAAAUCAAAUUUUAUUUGUCACAUACACAUGGUUAGCAGAUGUUAAUGUGAGUGUAGCGAAAUGCUUGUGCUUUUAGUUCCGACCAUGCAGUAAUAUCUAACACAUAAUCUAACCUAACAAUUUCACCAGAACUACCUUAUGCACAAGUGUAAAGGAAUGAAUAUGUACAUAAAAAUAUAUAAAUGAGUGAUGGCCGAACUGCAAAGGCAAGAUUCAGUAGAUGGUAGAGUACAGUAUAUACAUAUGAGAUGAGUAAUGUAGGGUAUGUAAACAUUAUAUAAAGUUGCAUUGUUUAAAGUGGCUGGUGAUACAUUUAUGAGAGCGGGGUGAACAGACGGUGCCUGUGGUUGUUGUCCUUGAUGAUCUUGUCCUUGAUCACCUUCCAGUGACAUUGGGUGGUGUAGGUGUCCUGGAGGGCAGGUAGUUUGUCCCCGGUGAUGCGUUAUGCAGACCUCACUACCCUCUGGAGAGUCUUGCGGUUGUUGGCAGAGCAGUUGCCAUACCAGGUGGUGAUACAGCCCAACAGGAUGCUCUCGAUUGUGCAGCUGUAAAAGUUUGUGAGUGUUUCUGGUGACAAGCCGAAUUUCUUCAGCCUCCUGGGGUUGAAGAGGCGCUGCUGCGCCUUCUUCACCACGCUGUCUGUGUGGGUGGACCAUUUCAGUUUGUUCGUGAUGUGUACGCCGAAGAACUUAACUGCCCACCUUCUCCACUACUAUCCCAUCGAUGUUUAUAGGGGGCUGCUCCCUCUGCUGUUUCCUGAAGUCCAAGAUCAUCUCCUUUGUUUUGUUGACAUUGAGUGUGAGGUUAUUUUCCUGACACCACAAUCCGAGGGCCCUCACCUCCUCCCUGUAGGCCAUUUCGUCGUUGUUGGUAAUCAAGCCUACCACUGUAGUGUCGUCUGCAAACUUGAUGAUUGAGUUGGAGGCGUGCAUGGCCAUGCAGUCAUGGGUGAACAGGGAGUACAGGAGAGGGCUGAGAACGCACCCUUUUGGGGCCUCAGUGUUGAGGAUCAGCGGGGUGGAGAUGUUAUUACCUACCCUCACCACAUUGUUAUAUUUGCAGAACACUGCUUCUAUGGUAUAAUGUAAAGGGUUGUUUAUUGUACAUGGACUUGUUCCUACAUUUGAAAGUUAUCAAAACACUUAGUUUAGAAUAUAUUUUUACUUCUAACUCAUUGUGUUCCUUGUGUAUUAUUUUUCUGUAAUUUUUCUCUGCAUUGUUGAAGGACAUUUCACUGUUAGUCUACACCUGUUGUUUCCGAAGCACGUGACAAAUAAAACAUUUUUUUAAAUUUGAU
Long non-coding RNA from Oncorhynchus masou masou (cherry salmon), 2115 nucleotides. RefSeq lists it as uncharacterized. The transcript is spliced from 3 exons. The record is from RefSeq and is a predicted model, not a curated record. Lineage: Eukaryota; Metazoa; Chordata; Actinopteri; Salmoniformes; Salmonidae.